AAGCUCGUAGUUGAAUUUCGGGGUUCUACCGUUGGUCGGGCUAACCAGUCUGUACUAGCGUGUAGAAUUCCUACCUUCUGGGGAACCAUCAUGUUAUUAAUUUAGCGUGGUGGGAAACCAGGACCUUUACCUUGAAAAAAUUAGAGUGUUCAAAGCAGGCUUACGUCUGAAUACAUUAGCAUGGAAUAAUAAAAUAGGACGGUGGUCCUGUUUUGUUGGUUUCUGAAUCACCGUAAUGAUCAAUAGGGAUAGUUGGG
RNAcentral lists this ribosomal RNA (257 nucleotides) under uncultured Scutellospora. RNAcentral describes it as "partial 18S ribosomal RNA". It matches the Rfam family "Eukaryotic small subunit ribosomal RNA", at positions 624 to 886 of the family's 1831-position model. Lineage: Eukaryota; Fungi; Glomeromycota; Glomeromycetes; Diversisporales; Gigasporaceae. The record is from RNAcentral.